AUGAAGAUCGAUACCGCUCCAGGGCCGGACGGUUGGCCGGUGUCUUUCUUCCGGCGGUUUUGGCCGGCGCUCAAGGACAUUUUCUACGAUAUUAUCAAUGGGUUUACGCUUGGCACAAUAGACAUAUCGCGCCUCAACUUCGGUGUCAUUACCCUCAUCCCUAAAGUCAAGGGGGCGGACUCGAUCAAGCAAUACCGCCCCAUCACCCUUAUUAAUGUGCCUUUAAAAUUAUGCUCCAAAGCUUACACUACGAGACUUGCUCCGGUUGCACAGCGUGUGAUUGACCGUAGCCAGUCGGGUUUUCUCAAAGGGCGUAACAUCCUAGAAGGUCCGGUAGUUUUGCAAGAGAUAGUUCACGAGCUUAAGUGCACGCGUCAGCCGGCCGUGCUCUUCAAGCUCGAUUUCGAGAAAGCCUAUGACCGAGUGAACUGGGAGUUCAUUCGCGAGGUGCUGACUCGGAAGGGAUUCGAGUCGGGUUUCAUUCAUCGCAUCAUGCAACUUGUCUCGGGGGGACAAACUGCGAUUGCUAUCAACGGAGAAGUGGGGAACUUCUUCCGCAACAAACGAGGUCUCAGACAAGGAGAUCCCUCCUCGCCUUUGAUUUUCAACUUUGUUGUUGAUGCUCUCUCGGCCAUGGUGAACAAGGCCAAGAACGCCGGCCAUAUUCGAGGUGUGGUGCCUCACCUUUGCCCUGGUGGGAUCACCCACUUACAAUAUGCAGACGACACUCUGCUGCUCUUCGAGCCAGAUGACCAUAGCAUAGCCUCGAUUAAGCUCAUCCUCCUCUCUUUUGAGAUUAUUUUCGGCUUGAAGAUUAAUUUUUUGAAGAGUGAGGUGAUUGUCGUGGUUCUAAGUCUGACAGUACGGAUGGGGGGUAGGAAUGAAGAGGCAGGUCCUAGCUUUGGAGUAGUUGUUUACGCAAGAGGUUUUACGAGUUCGGGCCCUUCUCUGAGGAAGUAA
This 960-nucleotide ribosomal RNA is filed under the name Triticum aestivum (bread wheat). Its description in RNAcentral is "partial small subunit ribosomal RNA". The record is from RNAcentral. Lineage: Eukaryota; Viridiplantae; Streptophyta; Magnoliopsida; Poales; Poaceae.